AAACCUACGGGGGGCAGCAGUCGGGAAUAUUGCGCAAUGGAGGAAACUCUGACGCAGUGACGCCGCGUAUAGGACGAAGGUCUUCGGAUUGUAAACUAUUGUCGUUAGGGAAGAGAAAGGACAGUACCUAAGGAGGAAGCUCCGGCUAACUACGUGCCAGCAGCCGCGGUAAUACGUAGGGGGCAAGCGUUAUCCGGAUUUACUGGGUGUAAAGGGAGCGUAGACGGCUGCGCAAGUCAGAAGUGAAAGCCCGGGGCUCAACCGCGGGACUGCUUUUGAAACUGUGUAGCUAGAGUGCAGGAGGG
Molecule: ribosomal RNA, 305 nt
Filed under: uncultured bacterium
Lineage: Bacteria
Description: bacterial SSU rRNA
Rfam family: Bacterial small subunit ribosomal RNA
Source: RNAcentral